GACGAACGCUGGCGGCGUGCUUAACACAUGCCAGUCGAACGGAAAGGCCCUGCUUUUGUGGGGUGCUCGAGUGGCGAACGGGUGAGUAACACGUGAGUAACCUGCCCUUGACUUUGGGAUAACUUCAGGAAACUGGGGCUAAUACCGGAUAGGAGCUCCUGCUGCAUGGUGGGGGUUGGAAAGUUUCGGCGGUUGGGGAUGGACUCGCGGCUUAUCAGCUUGUUGGUGGGGUAGUGGCUGACCAAGGCUUUGACGGGUAGCCGGCCUGAGAGGGUGACCGGCCACAUUGGGACUGAGAGACGGCGCAGACUCCUACGGGAGGCAGCAGUGGGGAAUAUUGCACAAUGGGCGGAAGCCUGAUGCAGCAACGCCGCGUGCGGGAUGACGGCCUUCGGGUUGUAAACCGCUUUCGCCUGUGACGAGGCGUGAGUGACGGUAAUGGGUAAAGAAGCACCGGCUAACUACGUG
This 468-nucleotide ribosomal RNA is filed under the name uncultured bacterium. RNAcentral describes it as "partial 16S ribosomal RNA". It matches the Rfam family "Bacterial small subunit ribosomal RNA", at positions 28 to 507 of the family's 1533-position model. The record is from RNAcentral.